RNA transcript from Salvia hispanica, 1301 nucleotides. It is a transcript of the gene named protein TONNEAU 1a-like, with no coding region annotated. The record is from RefSeq and is a predicted model, not a curated record. NCBI's taxonomy places the organism in Eukaryota, Viridiplantae, Streptophyta, Magnoliopsida, Lamiales, Lamiaceae.
UAUUGAAGAUUAUACGAAAUUCCAAACUAAAGCAAUUUCAAAAAAUCCAGCGUCAUUAAAUUUCCGACAGCAUUCAACAAUCUAUAUAGGUCCCUGAAAAUUUUCGGUAGCUGAGGAUUAAAUUCUUGAAAUUUUUGGGGAAAAUUUGAAAAUUUUAGAAUGGACGAUUACACGAGAGAAAUGAUGGAUUUAAAAACCCUGGUUACUCGCACAUUGGAGAAGAAGGGCGUUCUCGCCAAGAUCCGUGCUGAGCUUAGAGCUAGUGUGUUUGAAGCGAUCGAAGAGGAAGAUCAAGUAAUUGAGAAAGAAGAUGGAUUGCCUCCUGCACUAUUGGGUAGCUGCAAUGAUCGUGCUAAGCAGCUUCAUAACUCACCUUCAGGGAGGCUUCUAACUGCUUUAAUAUGUGAAUAUCUCGAUUGGUCUCAGUUAAACCACACAUUAAAAGUUUACUUGCCAGAGAGUAAUAUGCCAAAAGAUUCCUGGAAAUCCGAGCUAAAAGAUUUCAGCAGCAAGAAUGGCUAUGACUUGAACCGGCAUGGAGAUAGUGGGCCUUUGCUUUUGGACGUUCUUGAGGGCUUCUUGAAGUUCGAGAAUCUGUCUCAAGGAAGAGGUGCGAAUAGGAGAUCGACCGCUUCAGAUUCUGAAUCUCUAUCAAACUUGGAAGCACGCAACGCUAGGAGACCUUCACCACCAGCAGUUGCUGUGGGUAUACCUCAACUAGGAAGGCAUAGUGCUGCUUCACAAUCAUCUGAUCGGAGAGCUGGAUCAUCUGCGUCAGGCUACCGGAGAGAUGAAUAUAAUCGGAGGUAUGAAAAUGAUGGACAUUCUGAAGAUGUCAUCCGUGCUUCUGCUGCGUUAGAGAAUCUGCAAUUGGAGAGAAAUGCUCGUCGUGGGACCACAUCUUGGAGGCGUGGAGGAGAUGAUAUGUCCGAAGACGAUAGCACUGGAUAGACGUGGGUUAUGUGGAUUCGUUGAUCCACGUUCAUUUCAGCCUUGCAACGGCACUAGUUCAUGUAAGGAUGUCCAAGGGCCACGACCGUUAUAUUUUGACGGUUCCGUCGAAAAAGGACUACUCUGAUGACAUUUCUAUUUGUUGGGACUCGAUUUUCAAAAGGUGAAUGUUUUGGACUAAUUUCGUAUUUUGGCCAUAUGUUUAAGACCAAAAUUAACCAUUACUCUUUGUUUUAUGUACAAUUCAAUGGUCCAUAUCUGUUUUUUGAGUUGCAAAACGCACACCCCACAUAAGCACUAGGUGGCUCGAACUCUCGACUUAUUGAUUAAGGUGGUGUUUUUAUCAAUUA